RNAcentral lists this ribosomal RNA (221 nucleotides) under uncultured bacterium. Its description in RNAcentral is "partial 16S ribosomal RNA". It matches the Rfam family "Bacterial small subunit ribosomal RNA", at positions 99 to 334 of the family's 1533-position model. The record is from RNAcentral.
CGACCGGGUGAGUAACACGUGACUAACCUACCUUCGAGUGGGGGAUAACUCCGGGAAACCGGAGCUAAUACCGCAUAACAUCGCAAGAUCAAAGCAGCAAUGCGCUUGAAGAGGGGCCCGCGCCUGAUUAGCUAGUUGGUGAGGUAAUGGCUCACCAAGGCAACGAUCAGUAUCCGGCCUGAGAGGGCGGACGGACACACUGGGACUGAGACACGGCCCAG